RNAcentral lists this transfer RNA (65 nucleotides) under Ictidomys tridecemlineatus (thirteen-lined ground squirrel). RNAcentral's name for it is "Spermophilus tridecemlineatus (thirteen-lined ground squirrel) tRNA". It matches the Rfam family "tRNA". Rfam says of the family: Transfer RNA (tRNA) molecules are approximately 80 nucleotides in length. Their secondary structure includes four short double-helical elements and three loops (D, anti-codon, and T loops). Further hydrogen bonds mediate the characteristic L-shaped molecular structure. tRNAs have two regions of fundamental functional importance: the anti-codon, which is responsible for specific mRNA codon recognition, and the 3' end, to which the tRNAs corresponding amino acid is attached (by aminoacyl-tRNA synthetases). tRNAs cope with the degeneracy of the genetic code in two manners: having more than one tRNA (with a specific anti-codon) for a particular amino acid; and 'wobble' base-pairing, i.e. permitting non-standard base-pairing at the 3rd anti-codon position. The record is from Rfam by way of RNAcentral. Lineage: Eukaryota; Metazoa; Chordata; Mammalia; Rodentia; Sciuridae.
GGGGGUGUAACUCAAUGGUAGAGUGCUUGUCUAACAUAUACAAGGUCCUGGGGGGUUCAUCCCCA